AAUUGACGGGGCCCCGCACAAGCAGCGGAGCGUGUGGUUUAAUUCGAUGUUACACGAAGAACCUUACCAGGGUUUGACAUGCAAGUGGUAGGAAGCCGAAAGGUGACCGACCCUUCGGGGAGCUUGCACAGGUGCUGCAUGGCUGUCGUCAGCUCGUGUCGUGAGAUGUUCGGUUAAGUCCGCUAACGAGCGCAACCCUCGCUGUGUGUUAUAUGUGUCACACGGGACUGCCGGUCUUAAGCCGGAGGAAGGUGGGGAUGAUGUCAAGUCAGCAUGGCCUUUAUAUCCUGGGCUACACACACGCUACAAUGGCCAACACAAUAGGUUGCUAAGCCGCGAGGUGGCGCCAAUCCAUAAAGUUGGUCUCAGCUCAGAUUGUAGGCUGCAACCCGCCUGCAUGAAGAUGGAGUUGCUAGUAACCGCAGGUCAGCUAUACUGCGGUGAAUACGUUCCCGGGGCUU
This 461-nucleotide ribosomal RNA is filed under the name uncultured Leptolinea sp. RNAcentral describes it as "bacterial SSU rRNA". It matches the Rfam family "Bacterial small subunit ribosomal RNA", at positions 908 to 1382 of the family's 1533-position model. Lineage: Bacteria; Bacillati; Chloroflexota; Anaerolineae; Anaerolineales; Anaerolineaceae. The record is from RNAcentral.